This 782-nucleotide long non-coding RNA is filed under the name Heterocephalus glaber (naked mole-rat). RNAcentral describes it as "lncRNA (ENSHGLG00000044098.1)". Lineage: Eukaryota; Metazoa; Chordata; Mammalia; Rodentia; Bathyergidae. The record is from RNAcentral.
GCACAGGAAAGUGCAAUGACAGCUCUACUACUCCAGAUCCUGCCAGGCCCAGUCACUGGGAGUAAAGCCAAGGAGCCAGGAGUACACGCGCCUACCCCCUUCCUAUGUGAAACUGUCUCCAGACAGCGGAAAACACCCUGGAUUUGAAGGUGUGGUCUUGUCCUGGAGCAUUACAGCAUCCGGGGAUCACUCAGGUCUCAGUUGUGACCCAAAUGCAAUUAUGUCUGAAAUGUCAUAGCUGGCCUGUAGGCUGGAGAACUAGACCUACUCAAAUGAUUUUUCCCUAGAAUUAUGUAGCAUUGCUCCAACACAUGGCAAAAAACCCAACAACAACAAAAAUGUUGGGCAUGGUGGUACAUUCCUGAAUCCCAGCACUAGGGAGGCUGAGACUGGAGGAUCUUCAUGUUCAAGGCCAGCCUGAACUACACAGUGAAACCCUGUCUCAAACAAACAAACAACAACUGUGGGACUGCAUAACCUUUGUUCCAUUUCUCCAGCCCCAUUGUGAUUAAAUGUGAGUUAAUGGAUAAAGAUGCUUGUUAGUUUUGGGACACUAGAUAAAAAUCUGUUAACAGACCUAAAGUCCCAAAGUAAACUACUCAACUCCUUGUUUGCCCGGAACUGAUGUUCUGGACACCACAAUCUAUAGAACAAGCUGCAAAUGUCUGCUGACCAUCAAUACGUGACAGUCGACCACUAACCUCUGUCCCCUUUUCUUUAAUUCUAUAUGUUAACUUCCCCCCUCAACCUCCUAUAAAAACAGCCUCAGACUCUGAGUCAGU